RNAcentral lists this unclassified non-coding RNA (377 nucleotides) under Albizia canescens. RNAcentral's name for it is "partial external transcribed spacer". The record is from RNAcentral. Lineage: Eukaryota; Viridiplantae; Streptophyta; Magnoliopsida; Fabales; Fabaceae.
GCAAUUCCGCGUCGGUUGUCGUGGGGUGGGACGGCGCCUCAGGGGCUGGUUCUUGUGCCGCCUACCCCCUCAAGGGAAGCGAGGCCGCUUGCACUUAGCCUCCGUCCGGCGCCUUCUGACGGGCGCGGGAGGACAGCGAAGCACCCCCGUGUUCCACCGAACCUUACCCGGCCGCGUGGCCCGCGGGGAAGUGCGGUGCUCUUGGACCCAGCGCACGCCGCGGACGGGGACUCGUUCCCCGGUCGUGAGAGCUGCUCCGGUAUGAAACGUGCGACGUCCGCGCCCGCCCCUCGAGGACCGCCCCCGGCGGCGCGAGGGCGGCGCGCGGCGUCUGGAGGACGCUACCCUGGUUGAUCUGCAGUAGUCAUAUGCUGUCU